AGGUGCGAUCAUACCAGCACUAAUGCACCGGAUCCCAUCAGAACUCCGCAGUUAAGCGUGCUUGGGCGAGAGUAGUACUGGGAUGGGUGACCUCCUGGGAAGUCCUUGUGUUGCACCUC
RNAcentral lists this ribosomal RNA (119 nucleotides) under Medicago arborea. The record is from RNAcentral. Lineage: Eukaryota; Viridiplantae; Streptophyta; Magnoliopsida; Fabales; Fabaceae. RNAcentral also lists the same sequence under 1 other name.